RNAcentral lists this ribosomal RNA (783 nucleotides) under uncultured marine bacterium. Its description in RNAcentral is "bacterial SSU rRNA". It matches the Rfam family "Bacterial small subunit ribosomal RNA", at positions 14 to 794 of the family's 1533-position model. The record is from RNAcentral.
UGAUCCUGGCUCAGAUUGAACGCUGGCGGCAGGCCUAACACAUGCAAGUCGAACGGUAACAGAAAGUGCUUGCACUUUGCUGACGAGUGGCGGACGGGUGAGUAAUGCUUAGGAACUUGCCUUUUGGUGGGGGAUAACAGUUGGAAACGACUGCUAAUACCGCAUAAUGUCUUUGGACCAAAGGGGGCUUCGGCUCUCACCAAGAGAGAGGCCUAAGUGAGAUUAGUUAGUUGGUGGGGUAAAGGCUUACCAAGACGACGAUCUCUAGCUGUUCUGAGAGGAAGAUCAGCCACACUGGGACUGAGACACGGCCCAGACUCCUACGGGAGGCAGCAGUGGGGAAUAUUGCACAAUGGGGGGAACCCUGAUGCAGCCAUGCCGCGUGUGUGAAGAAGGCCUUCGGGUUGUAAAGCACUUUCAGUUGUGAGGAAAGGUUGGUAGUUAAUACCUGCCAGCUGUGACGUUAACAACAGAAGAAGCACCGGCUAACUCCGUGCCAGCAGCCGCGGUAAUACGGAGGGUGCGAGCGUUAAUCGGAAUUACUGGGCGUAAAGCGCACGCAGGCGGUUUGUUAAGCGAGAUGUGAAAGCCCCGGGCUCAACCUGGGAGGGUCAUUUCGAACUGGCAGACUAGAGUUUUGGAGAGGGGAGUGGAAUUCCAGGUGUAGCGGUGAAAUGCGUAGAUAUCUGGAGGAACAUCAGUGGCGAAGGCGACUCCCUGGUCAAAGACUGACGCUCAUGUGCGAAAGUGUGGGUAGCGAACAGGAUUAGAUACCCUGGUAGU